Molecule: long non-coding RNA, 1577 nt
Organism: Etheostoma cragini (Arkansas darter)
Lineage: Eukaryota; Metazoa; Chordata; Actinopteri; Perciformes; Percidae
Exons: 3
Source: RefSeq, a predicted model, not a curated record
GCGCUAUGGAAAAUUGUUAGGGGGGGAUACACAGUGAUAAACGUAAUAGAUUCAAACAAUAAGGCUGAAACGGGAACUUGGUGGACUGACCGUUCACCGAGGACCGGGUCUGAGUGGCGCCGGUCCCGAAAUAGAUCAGACUCCUUUGGCACGGGAGGAAAACAUGGGAUAAACACGUAAGUUAUUUAUCUUAUUAUAGGGCAAGAGCGACAUAAUAGUGCGUAUGUUGCGUAGAGAAUAGCACUAUUUAAUUCAUAACCGCUCGAGUCUACUGUGUGAACAGUCCUAAUACAAGUCCAGUUGUAGCAGCGCGGCUUGGAAAGAAUAAUGAAAAAAAGAAAGAAAAUAAAAGUCCUGUAGCCUGUUUGCAGGAAAACAUGACGUGAGGGGUUGUUGACGGAAGACGUUAUACACACUUUAAAUCUGGAGUGUUUCAUCAUCGACAUGACAACAGACCCUGUAAUGCACACCUGCCUAAGUACAAUGGGACACUGACACGCCUGAUGGGAUGUUACUGUUGACACCAAGGCUGCUGGCUCCUGUCACCCGUUCUAAUAACCCCAGUGAAGGGAGGCCUCCUGCUGCUUACCUGCCAGAGGGACAGGAGAUAAAGUGCUUCCUCGCCUCUCAGAGCUUCUGAGGACCAGGUUUUUCUAUCUUGCACCACGGUCUACCCGGCUUGGACCAGGAGCGGGACUGGAUGCCAGAGGCAGACCCAGGAGAGGACACAGUAUCCUAUUGUGCAUUACAAAGAAGUCUACAGGGAGCUGCAGAGAUCUAUUUUUCCACAGUAUGAAUCAUAGACAGUUUUUGUUGGGGUUCAUGUCUGGUGCCCGUCUGCUGCCAUGCCCUUUCUUACAUUGCCAUCUUGGUUAUCUGAUGCAUCUCUGAUGUAAGGAAUUAAGCUGCUGUGUCCCUCUUAGAAUUUCUGGCCAUGACUCAAUGGUUCUCCUCAUGGGCGCCAGCAAAGAGUCUGCAUCUGCCGGAGUUUUUGGUUCCUCUUAUGGCUUUCAAUCUCUUUGGAAAGAGAUAUACUUCCAGAUUUUUACAAAUAUCUCAAAUGUAUCACUGUAUAGACCCAAAUUUGCUAUGUUUAUAUUGUCAGCAAAAUGUAGUUUAUGCAAAUAUUUCACUUCACACUGUGUGUGACAAAAUAAGCGGGUGUUCUGUUCCCCAUUAUAUAACCAAAAGUUGAAACGACAGUUGUUAAACAUUCUUUUAUUCAUUUUCCAGCAGACCUAAACUUGAGAGCAGUGUUCCAAACAAACUACAGAGGUUUACAUAGGCAAAAUGGAUUUCAGUGUGUGUCUAAGAAAUCAGUUCUCCCUAUCAAAUAUCCACGAGAAGAACAAAUAAUCGCCCUAAAGAGUUGGAAUUGUAUUACCUAUGUAAAUGCAGCCAGAAGGAAAACAAACAGCUUAUUCAAAUAACUGCCUGUGAAGUGUAGUUUUUUUUAUGCCUUUGUUGUCCUGGGUAACAGGCAUCUUCAUUACAAGGCAAUGCAUACUGCAUUAAGCAGUUUGGCAAGACACUGGAAAUCUGUCCAAUGGAAAAUUAAAUGAUUACACUUGCAUGUA